This 1262-nucleotide long non-coding RNA is filed under the name Homo sapiens (human). RNAcentral describes it as "long non-coding RNA NONHSAT166099.1". The record is from RNAcentral. Lineage: Eukaryota; Metazoa; Chordata; Mammalia; Primates; Hominidae.
AUACAAUGGCUUCUGGUCAAUUCAGUCAUAAGAUGUAUUCCUGGCUGGAAAAUUCUGCUAUUUGGAAUCUACAGUUAGACAAGACUGCAUGUUAGACUCUGAAGUUAGGCAGGGUCACCACCCUGGACAGGGACCCGCUGCCUUAAGAGCUGUUAACAGUCACCGCGAAGGUCUGCAGCUUCACUCCUGAGCCAGCGAGACCACGAGCCCACCUGGAGGAACGAACAACUCCAGACCCGCUGCCUUAAGAGCUGUAGCAGUCACCACGAAAGUCUGCAGCUUCACUCCUGAGCCAGCGAGACCGCGAACCCACCAGAAGGAAGAAAUUCCGAACAUAUCCGAACAUCAGAAGGAACAAACUCCAGACGCGCCACCUUAAGAGCUGUAACACUCACCGCGAGGGUCCGCGGCUUCAUUCUUGAUGUCAGCAAGACCAAGAACCCACCAAUUCUGGACACAAAACCUCAAGUAGUCCCUCCACCGAAAGCACAUUAUAAGGAUCAUUUUGCCUCAAAGCCCUCCUACAGGCAAGAGGAGCUUACUGUGACUUCCAAGAAGAAAAUGAUGUUGUGGCAUGAAGCACUUCUCUGAUCAUAUCACUGCUGUACUAAAGGUAUGGAAUGUAUUCGGUGUUGAGGAGUUUGGACAGUACAGCAGCAGCUGCUCUAGGGCAUAAGCAGAUGGUGAAUGUUCAACUUGAUUACAUUGACCAAACGGAAUUGGAUAACAAACUCGAAAUAGUUUGAGAAAAAAGGACACGUAUAAUGCUUAGAGAUGUAAAAGCCAUUUUGCAAGAAUGAGAAUGAGUGCUACAUGCUAAGGAAAGUGGAAUGGAAAGUUAAGAACAGUUAAGGAUGAGGUGAAGACUAGAAAAGGGAAAAUUGUCUUUGUUGAAGAGGGCUUGUCUCCUGACAGUUACUCAGUGAUGCAAAGCUAAAAAGAGCACUGUGCUCAUGGUGGAAAAUAAUUCCCAGGACUUGACAGGGAAGAAUGUACUCAUUCCACGCCCCGGGCAGAAGUCUGCUGAGACAAACAGAAGAAAGAUAGUUAGUGAGCAAAUUCAUCAAGACCAAUAUCAUGUAUUUCUCCCCCUGGCCUGAUGGCUGAUUUGCACUCCUCCUGUAAGCAACAAAACUGCAAAACCAGUGCUACAAAACAGAAGCACCUGUAAGUCCGUGGGAGCACAUCUUUGCUCAACAAGAGAUCCUGACAACUAACAACUAACUCCCCCUGGUGAAUGAGUGGAGAAAUUGUUGAGUUGG